RNAcentral lists this ribosomal RNA (497 nucleotides) under uncultured bacterium. RNAcentral's name for it is "partial 16S ribosomal RNA". It matches the Rfam family "Bacterial small subunit ribosomal RNA", at positions 28 to 507 of the family's 1533-position model. The record is from RNAcentral.
GAUGAACGCUGGCGGCGUGCCUAAUACAUGCAAGUCGAGCGAACGGACGAGAAGCUUGCUUCUCUGAUGUUAGCGGCGGACGGGUGAGUAACACGUGGAUAACCUACCUAUAAGACUGGGAUAACUUCGGGAAACCGGAGCUAAUACCGGAUAAUAUUUUGAACCGCAUGGUUCAAAAGUGAAAGACGGUCUUGCUGUCACUUAUAGAUGGAUCCGCGCUGCAUUAGCUAGUUGGUAAGGUAACGGCUUACCAAGGCAACGAUGCAUAGCCGACCUGAGAGGGUGAUCGGCCACACUGGAACUGAGACACGGUCCAGACUCCUACGGGAGGUAGCAGUAGGGAAUCUUCCGCAAUGGGCGAAAGCCUGACGGAGCAACGCCGCGUGAGUGAUGAAGGUCUUCGGAUCGUAAAACUCUGUUAUUAGGGAAGAACAUAUGUGUAAGUAACUGUGCACAUCUUGACGGUACCUAAUCAGAAAGCCACGGCUAACUACGUG